UUGCUGGGUUGUACAGAUCAGGGUGAAGGGUAAAAGAGAUCUGAAAAUUCCCUGGCUAGCUGAACUGAUUCACAUUGGCUAAGACAAACUGUUAACUGUUACCUAAAGAAGAGAACAAACGAGAGAAGAGAAAACGCAAAGAGCCUGCAUGGCUUGGGUUUGAGGAAAAGUUUGGACAACUUUUGAGAGAGAGGAAGAGUGAUUUUGAACCACACAGCUGGACUGGGGAUGUGGAUGCAAUGUGAACAUAAAAGAUUGCCUUCUUAUGGAAACUGCAGCUAAGUACAGGCCAGGUGUGGUGGCUCACGCCUGUAAUUCAAGCCUUUGGG
Molecule: long non-coding RNA, 329 nt
Filed under: Homo sapiens (human)
Lineage: Eukaryota; Metazoa; Chordata; Mammalia; Primates; Hominidae
Description: HSALNT0341628
Source: RNAcentral